UACGGGAGGCAGCAGUGGGGAAUAUUGGACAAUGGGCGCAAGCCUGAUCCAGCCAUACCGCGUGGGUGAAGAAGGCCUUCGGGUUGUAAAGCCCUUUUGUUGGGAAAGAAAUCCAGCCGGCUAAUACCUGGUUGGGAUGACGGUACCCAAAGAAUAAGCACCGGCUAACUUCGUGCCAGCAGCCGCGGUAAUACGAAGGGUGCAAGCGUUACUCGGAAUUACUGGGCGUAAAGCGUGCGUAGGUGGUCGUUUAAGUCCGUUGUGAAAGCCCUGGGCUCAACCUGGGAACUGCAGUGGAUACUGGGCGACUAGAGUGUGGUAGAGGGUAGCGGAAUUCCUGGUGUAGCAGUGAAAUGCGUAGAGAUCAGGAGGAACAUCCAUGGCGAAGGCAGCUACCUGGACCAACACUGACACUGAGGCACGAAAGCGUGGGGAGCAAACAGGAUUAGAUACCCUGGUAGUCCACGCCCUAAACGAUGCGAACUGGAUGUUGGGUGCAAUUUGGCACGCAGUAUCGAAGCUAACGCGUUAAGUUCGCCGCCUGGGGAGUACGGUCCCAAGACUGAAACUCAAAGGAAUU
Molecule: ribosomal RNA, 580 nt
Filed under: uncultured bacterium
Lineage: Bacteria
Description: bacterial SSU rRNA
Rfam family: Bacterial small subunit ribosomal RNA
Source: RNAcentral